UGCGUAGGCGGCUUUUUAAGUCGGAUGUGAAAUCCCCGAGCUUAACUUGGGAAUUGCAUUCGAUACUGGGAAGCUAGAGUAUGGGAGAGGAUGGUAGAAUUCCAGGUGUAGCGGUGAAAUGCGUAGAGAUCUGGAGGAAUACCGAUGGCGAAGGCAGCCAUCUGGCCUAAUACUGACGCUGAGGUACGAAAGCAUGGGGAGCAAACAGGAUUAGAUACCCCCGUA
Molecule: ribosomal RNA, 225 nt
Filed under: uncultured Acinetobacter sp.
Lineage: Bacteria; Pseudomonadati; Pseudomonadota; Gammaproteobacteria; Moraxellales; Moraxellaceae
Description: partial 16S ribosomal RNA
Rfam family: Bacterial small subunit ribosomal RNA
Source: RNAcentral